Oncorhynchus keta (chum salmon) is the source of this 848-nucleotide long non-coding RNA. RefSeq lists it as uncharacterized. The record is from RefSeq and is a predicted model, not a curated record. NCBI's taxonomy places the organism in Eukaryota, Metazoa, Chordata, Actinopteri, Salmoniformes, Salmonidae. The transcript is spliced from 7 exons.
UGAGUCCUGGAGGAGACGAGGUACUGUGGACUGGAGUCCUGGAGGAGACGAGGUACUGUGGACUGGAGUCCUGGAGGAGACGAGGUACUGUGGACUGGAGUCCUGGAGGAGACGAGGUACUGUGGACUGGAGUCCUGGAGGAGACGAGGUACUGUGGACUGGAGUCCUGGAGGAGACGAGGUACUGUGGACUGGAGUCCUGGAGGAGACGAGGUACUGUGGACUGGAGUCCUGGAGGAGACGAGGUACUGUGGACUGGAGUCCUGGAGGAGACGAGGUACUGUGGACUGGAGUCCUGGAGGAGACGAGGUACUGUGGACUGGAGUCCUGGAGGAGACGAGGUACUGUGGACUGGAGUCCUGGAGGAGACGAGGUACUGUGGACUGGAGUCCUGGAGGAGACGAGGUAUUGUGGACUGGAGUCCUGGAGGAGACGAGGUACUGUGGACUGGAGUCCUGGAGGAGACGAGGUACUGUGGACUGGAGUCCUGGAGGAGACGAGGUACUGUGGACUGGAGUCCUGGAGGAGACGAGGUACUGUGGACUGGAGUCCUGGAGGAGACGAGGUACUGUGGACUGGAGUCCUGGAGGAGACGAGGUACUGUGGACUGGAGUCCUGGAGGAGACGAGGUACUGUGGACUGGAGCCCUGGAGGAGACGAGGUACUGUGGACUGGAGUCCUGGAGGAGACGACUGUGUGGAGCUAAAGAAUAGAGCUGCUACUCCAGACAGACAGUGAGAAAGUGAACCAGGUAGGAAAUAGAGUGAGAACGAGCGCACACACAGAGGGGAGGAGUGAGGCAGAUGAGGUAAAAACCUAUUCAAACAGGAAAUUCCACUCACACCAGGG